UUAUAUUUCCUUAAAAGUAGGAAUUUCUACCAUAGUCGAUGAAUAUCAUGAGGUAAGGAAAAAAAACAAUUUAUGAGGUAAAGAGAAAGAAAAAUUGAUAUAUGAUCAAUUACUGCAACUUUCCAGAAAUUCAAUGAUAACCUCAUAAACAAGGAUUGACUGGCGGGCCCAUGAUCCCGAGUUGCGAAGGCUGCGAUUGUUCCUAAGUUUUGGCCCCAGACAGAUUUUUCUGUCAUAAAAUAAAAUUUUUAAAAAAACUACUUGCCAGCUCUCCAUUUCUAUUUGCCUGCGUUAGCCUUAACUCAUCUGACUCGAGGGGGUGUAAAUGACAAAUUAGAGAUGUGGAGGCAAACUCUUGAGUCUAAAGGGUUCAGGGUGAGCAGAAGCAAGACAGAGUAUGUGGAAUGUAAGUUUAAUGACGUGAGGCGGGAGAACGAGGUAGUAGUGAAGCUGGAAGCACAGGAGGUAUGUAAGAGGGAUAAGUGUAAGUAUCUCGGGUCCGUGAUCCAGAGUAACGGUGAGAUUGACGAGGAUGUCUUGCACCGUAUUGGGGCGGGAUGGAUGAAGUGGAAACUCGCGUCGGGGGUGCUGUGUGAUAAGAAGGUGCCGCCCAAGCUUAAAGGCAAAUUCUAUAGGGUGGUAGUCCGUCCGGCCUUGCUGUAUGGAGCGGAGUGUUGGCCAGUUAAGAACUCCCACAUCCAAAAAAUGAAGGUGGCAGAAAUGCGGAUGUUGCGCUGGAGGUGUGGACUGACUCGAGGGGAUAGAGUUCGGAAUGAGACUAUCCGGGAGAAGGUUGGUGUGACUUCAGUGGAGUGUAAGAUGCGGGAAGCACGAUUGAGAUGGUUCGGACACGUGAAGAGGAGGGGCAUGGAAUUACUUGGUGGGGUUUUUUUUAUUUUUUAUUCCCGUUAUGAUUCCGUAUUCAGUGUUCCAUGCUUAUUACGAAUCUGUGUGCUUUCCUCUGCUUUCCUCUGUUUUAUAUUCCUUAUGGGUGCCGUAUUUAUGUUAUGUCAUCUGCUUCUGUGCUUUACUAUGUGUUUGUGUGAUAUCUUGUGCCUUGAGCCGGGGGUCUUUCGGAAACAGCCUUUCUACUUCAUCAGAGGUAGAGGUAUGGACUGCGUACAUCUUACCCCCCCCAGACCCCACUAAGUGGGAAUACACUGGGUUUGUUGUUGUUGUUGUUGUUGUAGCCUUAACUCAUCUGUGAAUUUGAAAGAGCUGGGGGUCCUGUCCUCGUAUAGUGACAUUUUUUAAGUGAACCUGAAUUUAAACUAUUGGUUAUACACAGUUACACACCUUUGACUAUUGAUGUAAUACAAAGUGCUGUGAUAAACUUGAAAACUAGCUAACUCAUCUGUGAAUUUGAAAGAGCUGGGGGUCCUGUCCUCGUAUAGUGACAUUUUUUAAGUGAACCUGAAUUUAAACUAUUGGUUAUACACAGUUACACACCUUUGACUAUUGAUGUAAUACAAAGUGCUGUGAUAAACUUGAAAACUAACCACCAGACUACAACAACAACAACAUACCCAUAUAGUCCCACAAACUAACCACCAAACUAAUCUGAAAAUUAUUGAAUGAAAAAACAAACAAACAGUGGAAGCUACAGUUUAAUGCUUCAAAGAUUUUGUUGAUUUCGCCUUCCACUUUCACUUGUUUGAUGGAAAUAGUAGAAUAUAAUACUUCUUUUCAUAAUUUAACUGGACUACAAAUCACGAUAUAUCUACGAGAGUUACGCGUUCAAACCAUAAGGCAAU
RNAcentral lists this long non-coding RNA (1754 nucleotides) under Capsicum annuum. RNAcentral describes it as "long non-coding RNA (CANN_LNC000093)". Lineage: Eukaryota; Viridiplantae; Streptophyta; Magnoliopsida; Solanales; Solanaceae. The record is from RNAcentral.